Long non-coding RNA from Gadus macrocephalus (Pacific cod), 851 nucleotides. RefSeq lists it as uncharacterized. Lineage: Eukaryota; Metazoa; Chordata; Actinopteri; Gadiformes; Gadidae. The transcript has 2 exons. The record is from RefSeq and is a predicted model, not a curated record.
AAUUCGGGCGGUUGGCGGUUAAAUCAAUAAAAAUAUUUAUAAAUAUUUUUAUUUUAUAUAUUAUAAAUAUUUUUUAUUUUAUUAUUUAUUUUCUUUAAAGUUAUUUUCCCAGCAAACUGGCCUGUUCCCCUAGAGCAGGGGAACCGUAUGGGGAAUCCAAGUUGAAACAACUUGCCCAAAGGUUCAGACUUAAUGAAAAUUCUUGAAGGCUAUAGGGAUUUUAAGGAUAACUCAAGCAUCAUUCCAGAAAACCUUGCACCACUCCUGAAUAUCGACCAUCUCAUUCCAGUUAGCACUGCUGAGUGUGAGAGGGGGUUCAGCUUAAUGAACAUCAUAGUGUGCCCCCUGAGAUGCAGUCUGCACUUCAUGGUCACAGUGUCGUCCUUGAUGUUUAUUCAAAUGAAUGGCCCACCACUCACAAAGUUCAAUCAAACACGUAUGUGAAGUCCUUUGCUGGCACAGGGGAGCCAUGAACCCCAGAACACACCCCUGCAAGGCAGGACCUGACGUGGAGGACAAGGAGGCCCUCUGGGCACUACUGUGAAAAGCAUGCAUACCUACACAUACAUACAUACACAUACACACAUGCCAUAGAUAUAGUUCUUAAUAUACACAUACCUUUCUUUACUGUUGAAAUUUGAAUAACUUGAAUAAACUACAAACACAUUAAUUGACUGCCAUUGAUUGAUUUAAUAUGACUUUAAUUGAUAACAUAAUGGAAUAUAGCCAGGCUAGCCUUACAGAGUCGCAACACUUUGCGUUGCGUUGCGUUGUGUCGAGGUCGGUCUGAUCACAAAAUUCAUAGUUUACCCACCUCUAAUUUGACCACUACAGCCCUGAUUGUAGUGAAA